CAGCAGUCGCCGCGGUAAUACGUAGGGUGCGAGCGUUAAUCGGAAUUACUGGGCGUAAGGCGUGCGCAGGCGGUUAUAUAAGACAGAUGUGAAAUCCCCGGGCUCAACCUGGGACCUGCAUUUGUGACUGUGUAGCUAGAGUACGGUAGAGGGGGAUGGAAUUCCGCGUGUAGCAGUGAAAUGCGUAGAUAUGCGGAGGAACACCGAUGGCGAAGGCAAUCCCCUGGACCUGUACUGACGCUCAUGCACGAAAGCGUGGGUAGCAAACAGGAUUAGAUACCCCAGUAGUCCCUGUCUCUUAUAC
This 304-nucleotide ribosomal RNA is filed under the name uncultured bacterium. RNAcentral's name for it is "partial 16S ribosomal RNA". It matches the Rfam family "Bacterial small subunit ribosomal RNA", at positions 509 to 807 of the family's 1533-position model. The record is from RNAcentral.